GAAAAAGCGUCACAUACCUUACAGAUUUUGAUUAGGAUAGCAAAAGGAGACACCAAAUAACAUGAAUCGUCCCUCACCGAUCAUUCUCAGCACUAAAAAGGAGAAAUAAACGUAAUUCUGCUAAGAUUUCAAGACUCCACAUGCAUAAAACAGCAAAUUUUCACUACUCUGCAUCCGACCUGCAAUCAAUUGGACUAGUUAAUGGGGGCUAGUCCAGCAUCAGAGUAAAUCCUAACUUACAGCUUUUUUACUUCUGACAGGAAUAGCAAGCUGACACA
RNAcentral lists this unclassified non-coding RNA (278 nucleotides) under Hevea brasiliensis (rubber tree). Lineage: Eukaryota; Viridiplantae; Streptophyta; Magnoliopsida; Malpighiales; Euphorbiaceae. The record is from RNAcentral.